GACUUUCCUCCUGUGAGCCAAUGAGGCCAGCUGGACUACGCCGAGACAACUGGGAGAGGCGCGGGACUCGCCCGUUCCGCGGAACGCCGGGAAGGGGUCACCUCCUGAUGAAGUUUCCGGUUCCGGUGUCAGCGGCGGUUGAAUUGCCAUGGCAAUGCGGUGGGCGCGCGCUUGUCGUGUUGGUCUCUUGGGAGGUAGCGGGGCUAGGCCGGGCGGGUAUCCGCCUCUCCCAGCUUAGGUGAGCGUCCCCGGGCGCCUCCGGAGCGCCGCGGCCGCAUGCAGUUCGUCGUGGCGGGGAGCCGGAGCCUGACCGGGGUUCCAGCGCUCGGGCCGUAGCCUUGGCUCCUGGACUUUCCCUGGCUCCGCCGCCACGUGGGAGCUGAGGCUCUGGGGCUUCCGCCUCCGGCGCGCGAUUAUUUCUCUAGAACAGUUUUCAUUUUUAAAAUUUGUAAAGCGCUUUUGCCUGUGUGAUUUCCUCUGGGUUUUUUUUUUUUUUCUUCCUUUUUGUAGAGACGGAAUUGGCGGCGGGGGCGGGGGGUCGAUGUCUCACUUUUUUGCCCAGGCUGGUCUCGAACUCCUGGCUUCAAGGGAUCCUCCUGCCUCGGCCUCUUAAAGUGCUGGGAUUACAGGCGUGAGCCACCGCCCCCGGCCGCCUCUGAGUUUCCAGCCUCGUUGGCCCUCCAGCCUUUUAACCUGUUGGGCCUAGGAUCAGGAAAGGUUUGUUGAAUGGGGAACUAAGAAGUGAAUUCGUUCGUUCGACAAACGUUUCCUGAGCAGCCGCUGGGUGCUAGGCGCAGUGCCAGCGCGGAAUGUCCAGGGAGACCUGGUGCCCAAAGCUUGGACCCAUCGUGAGAAAUGAGAAGCAGAUACAAAGCAGUGUGGGAGUGCAGAGGAGACAAAGCAAGCCUCAUCAGGCCCAUUGCUUGCUCUGCUCUCCCUUGUACUUACCAGUGCUUGACAAUAUACAGUUAUUUACUAGCUUGGUUAUUGACUUCCUACCCAGCACUCAGUUUUAUUCACUGCUGUAUCCUCAGUGCCUAGGACGAUGCUUGGAACGUGGUAAGUGCUCCUAUUGGCGGGAAGAAUAAAUCCGGAAGAGCAGGACCAGUGGACUUGCUACAUAAUCUGUAGUCUUGGAGCCGCACAGGGUUGGUGGUACCCUCGAGCACACCAGACUUGCAGAAAAAGCAUACUCCAGAGGAAGCUGAGGCAUGCCUGCUCGAGAGCCAGCUGUUCCAUGUGCAAUUUUCCUCUGAUAGUUUCUGGUCACUGUUGCCACGGUGAUAAUGACUGGGCUAUGUCAUUAUCUAUCCGCCAACAGUAAGAGAAGCUUUGCAGUCGAGAUAUUGUUUAGCAGAUGGAGUGUUUUCUGUUGAACACUAAGUACUGCCACAAGUUACUUUUUUUUUUUUAAACUUUGAGUAUUUUUUUACAAUGUUGCUGGAGGUGAUCUGUUUAUGCUUUGAGAGUGUUCGAAUUUAAAAUCAGAAAAUCAUGUCAGUGAGUGAGUCUUUCAAAUAAUCCUUCGGCAUGAAACCUGAGCCUAGUAAACUAUGAAAGUAAACUCGGCACAUUACCCGAAAGUCUCAAUGUCAUAUUUUCACCCCCAUCAAUAUUAUUGAUGAUUGCUCAUUUUCUAAUGUGGGACCUGAAAUUUACCAGGUGCUUAAAGAAUCUUUUUGUUUUUCAGAUUCAUUGAUUCCAGGUAAAUCAGAGGAACAAGCAACAUGAACAGAAAUAUGUAGAAAAAGCUAUUAUGCAGAAGCAUAAUUGUUGUUUCAGAAGUCCAGCAUCUGGUGCACUUAACAAUAGAGAAUAUAUUAAACUCUUUCCAAAAUAACCUGUUGUUCCUACCUGUGUUGUAAGUGUUUUGUUUGUUUUUAAGUAAAUAUUGGUGAUUUGUUGCCA
This 1908-nucleotide long non-coding RNA is filed under the name Homo sapiens (human). The record is from RNAcentral. Lineage: Eukaryota; Metazoa; Chordata; Mammalia; Primates; Hominidae.